AUUGAACGCUGGCGGCAUGCCUUACACAUGCAAGUCGAACGGCAGCACGGGAGCAAUCCUGGUGGCGAGUGGCGAACGGGUGAGUAAAGUAUCGGAACGUGCCCAGUCGUGGGGGAUAACGUAGCGAAAGUUACGCUAAUACCGCAUACGAUCUAUGGAUGAAAGCGGGGGAUCGCAAGACCUCGCGCGAUUGGAGCGGCCGAUAUCAGAUUAGGUAGUUGGUGGGGUAAAGGCUCACCAAGCCGACGAUCUGUAGCUGGUCUGAGAGGACGACAGGCCACACUGGGACUGCGACACGGGCCGGACUCCUACGGGAGGCAGCAGUGGGGAAUUUUGGACAAUGGGCGCAAGCCUGAUCCAGCCAUGCCGCGUGCAGGAUGAAGGCCUUCGGGUUGUAAACUGCUUUUGUACGGAACGAAAAGGUUUGGCUUAAUACGUUGAACUCAUGACGGUACCGUAAGAAUAAGCACCGGCUAACUACGUGCCAGCCGCCGCCGUAA
This 500-nucleotide ribosomal RNA is filed under the name uncultured bacterium. RNAcentral's name for it is "partial 16S ribosomal RNA". It matches the Rfam family "Bacterial small subunit ribosomal RNA", at positions 30 to 523 of the family's 1533-position model. The record is from RNAcentral.